AUUGAACGCUGGCGGAAUGCUUUACACAUGCGAGUCGAACGGCAGCACGGGGGCAACCCUGGUGGCGAGUGGCGAACGGGUGAGUAAUACAUCGGAACGUGCCCGGUCGUGGGGGAUAACGUAGCGAAAGUUACGCUAAUACCGCAUACGAUCUGAGGAUGAAAGCGGGGGACCUUCGGGCCUCGCGCGAUCGGAGCGGCCGAUGUCAGAUUAGGUAGUUGGUGGGGUAAAGGCCUACCAAGCCGACGAUCUGUAGCUGGUCUGAGAGGACGACCAGCCACACUGGGACUGAGACACGGCCCAGACUCCUACGGGAGGCAGCAGUGGGGAAUUUUGGACAAUGGGCGCAAGCCUGAUCCAGCCAUGCCGCGUGCAGGACGAAGGCCUUCGGGUUGUAAACUGCUUUUGUAUGGAACGAAAAGGCUCUGGCUAAUACCUGGGGCUCAUGACGGUACCGUAAGAAUAAGCACCGGCUAACUACGUG
RNAcentral lists this ribosomal RNA (484 nucleotides) under uncultured bacterium. RNAcentral describes it as "partial 16S ribosomal RNA". It matches the Rfam family "Bacterial small subunit ribosomal RNA", at positions 30 to 507 of the family's 1533-position model. The record is from RNAcentral.